Molecule: ribosomal RNA, 453 nt
Filed under: uncultured bacterium
Lineage: Bacteria
Description: bacterial SSU rRNA
Rfam family: Bacterial small subunit ribosomal RNA
Source: RNAcentral
AGCGAACGCUGGCGGCAGGCUUAACACAUGCAAGUCGAACGGGCGUAGCAAUACGUCAGUGGCAGACGGGUGAGUAACGCGUGGGAACGUACCUUUUGGUUCGGAACAACCCAGGGAAACUUGGGCUAAUACCGGAUAAGCCCUUACGGGGAAAGAUUUAUCGCCGAAAGAUCGGCCCGCGUCUGAUUAGCUAGUUGGUGAGGUAACGGCUCACCAAGGCGACGAUCAGUAGCUGGUCUGAGAGGAUGAUCAGCCACAUUGGGACUGAGACACGGCCCAAACUCCUACGGGAGGCAGCAGUGGGGAAUAUUGGACAAUGGGCGCAAGCCUGAUCCAGCCAUGCCGCGUGAGUGAUGAAGGCCCUAGGGUUGUAAAGCUCUUUUGUGCGGGAAGAUAAUGACGGUACCGCAAGAAUAAGCCCCCGGCUAACUUCGUGCCAGCAGCCGCCGUAAG